GCAGGCUUCCCAGAAGUUCAGUGUCUCCAGGUGUGUGGCCUCCUGUCCUUCAGUGUCCUUCACUGAAGACUGCUGGUGGGGAGUCCUGGAGAUCUUCCUGAUGACCAGGUGUCCCAAGCUUCUGCUUGUCUCUGUUGAGCUGCUCAAUGGACUGUGAAGAAAACGAAGUGGAAAAGCAGAGUUUGUCUGAGCUGGAAAGUCUGGGACUCAGAUGGGAGAGCCUACCUCCCUGCUAAGCACCCCACGUCACACACAUCUGCACAGCCUACCUUUCCAGUUCGAGCGAAGGCCUCUGCCACCUUACGGUUCCGUCCUCCAUAGCAGGUAGUGAUAAGAUCAGCAACGCCGCAGCUUUCCAGGAAGGUGG
Nannospalax galili (Upper Galilee mountains blind mole rat) is the source of this 367-nucleotide long non-coding RNA. RefSeq lists it as uncharacterized. The transcript has 3 exons. Lineage: Eukaryota; Metazoa; Chordata; Mammalia; Rodentia; Spalacidae. The record is from RefSeq and is a predicted model, not a curated record.